GAGUUUGAUCCUGGCUCAGAUUGAACGCUGGCGGCAUGCCUUACACAUGCAAGUCGAACGGUAACAGGUCUUCGGAUGCUGACGAGUGGCGAACGGGUGAGUAAUACAUCGGAACGUGCCCGAUCGUGGGGGGAUAACGGAGCGAAAGCUUUGCUAAUACCGCAUACGAUCUACGGAUGAAAGCAGGGGACCGCAAGGCCUCGCGCGGACGGAGCGGCCGAUGGCAGAUUAGGUAGUUGGUGGGAUAAAAGCUUACCAAGCCGACGAUCUGUAGCUGGUCUGAGAGGACGACCAGCCACACUGGGACUGAGACACGGCCCAGACUCCUACGGGAGGCAGCAGUGGGGAAUUUUGGACAAUGGGCGAAAGCCUGAUCCAGCCAUGCCGCGUGCAGGAUGAAGGCC
This 404-nucleotide ribosomal RNA is filed under the name uncultured microorganism. Its description in RNAcentral is "bacterial SSU rRNA". It matches the Rfam family "Bacterial small subunit ribosomal RNA", at positions 9 to 416 of the family's 1533-position model. The record is from RNAcentral.